AUGGGAAACAAGUGGGAUAAGGACAGGAUCACGCGUGAUGGUAACAAGUGGGAUAAGGACAGGAUCAUGCGUGAUGGUGUGACAAGCGAAAUGUUUGAAGGAGGCGAAGGUGGAGAAGUACAGGCUCUUUGUAAACGUGCAAAGGGAGAGGAUGGAGUUCGACCAAGUGAGGUUGAACAUGAAGAAGGACAAAAUAGAAUUGGAGAGGUAAGAGAAUAUUGCAAAAUGGGAGCUUUAAAGACGACGACAUUGGAUGGAAUUGUAUGUGUGUGUGUGCUUGAGAGAGAGAGAGAGAGAGAGGUGUUGAGGCUUGCGGGAGAGAUGGAUGGGCUGAGGAUUAUAUUGCAGGACACUAACCUCUUGGAUGAUGAAGCCAAGUGGGUGAUGAAGAUGAAGAAGAGGACCAACUAG
Molecule: ribosomal RNA, 411 nt
Filed under: Triticum aestivum (bread wheat)
Lineage: Eukaryota; Viridiplantae; Streptophyta; Magnoliopsida; Poales; Poaceae
Description: partial small subunit ribosomal RNA
Source: RNAcentral